AUUCCAGCUCCGAUAGCGUAUAUUAAAGUUGUUGCAGUUAAAAAGCUCGUAGUUGGAUUUCUGUUUCUGGGAUCUGGUCCGCCUCACGGUGAGCACUGGAUAACUGGGGACAUCCUCUCGAAGGCGGCGGGUGCACUUGAUUGUGUGUUUGUUGAAUUCGGGACCUUUACUUUGAAAAAAUUAGAGUGUUCAAAGCAGGCGUCGGCUUGAAUACAUUAGCAUGGAAUAAUGGAAUAGGACUUUGGUUCUAUUUUGUUGGUUUCUAGGACCGAAGUAAUGAUUAAUAGGGACAGUUGGGGGCAUUAGUAUUUAAUUGUCAGAGGUGAAAUUCUUGGAUUUAUGAAAGACUAACUACUGCGAAAGCAUUUGCCAAGGAUGUUUUCAUUA
RNAcentral lists this ribosomal RNA (387 nucleotides) under Choanoflagellata sp. RNAcentral describes it as "partial small subunit ribosomal RNA". It matches the Rfam family "Eukaryotic small subunit ribosomal RNA", at positions 582 to 975 of the family's 1831-position model. Lineage: Eukaryota; Choanoflagellata. The record is from RNAcentral.